RNAcentral lists this ribosomal RNA (225 nucleotides) under Triticum aestivum (bread wheat). RNAcentral describes it as "partial small subunit ribosomal RNA". The record is from RNAcentral. Lineage: Eukaryota; Viridiplantae; Streptophyta; Magnoliopsida; Poales; Poaceae.
AUGAUUAAUGCUUUGAUGUUGUACAUGAAUCUGGAACAAGAGGAAGAACCGAGGAUUCUUCAAGAAGCUGCUUCUAUUCGUGCACAAUGGCGUCGUAGUCAAGUAAGAGAAAUGGAUUUUCGAAAACCUCAAGCACAUGGUGUCCUGGGAAUUCCUGGCUAUGUACGGUUCACCUUCCGUACUCGAAGAUAUGUCGACCUGCUAGGUCAUUAUCAGCAAAUAUGA